AUGGAGCUCAACGUUCAGCUUCGUGCCACCGAUGGUGACCCUCUUCCUAAUCCCACUCGCUAUCGUCAUCUUGUUGGCAGUCUUGUCUAUCUUGCUGUUACGCGUCCUGACAUCUCCUAUCCUGUUCACAUCGUGAGUCAGUUUGUUUCAGCCCCCACCUCUGUCCACUACAAUCAUCUCCUCCGUGUUCUACCAUAUCUUCGUGGCACGAUCUCUCAGCACCUUUUCUUUCCCCGCUCCAGCUCUCUUGAGCUCCAGGCCUACUCUGAUGCUACCUGGGCUAGUGAUCCCUCCAUCGAUGCUCGUUGUCUGCUUAUUGUGUCUUUCUUGGUGGCUCUCUUAUUGCCUGGAAGACAAAGAAGCAGACAGCAGUUUCUUGCUCGAGUAUAG
RNAcentral lists this ribosomal RNA (390 nucleotides) under Triticum aestivum (bread wheat). RNAcentral's name for it is "partial small subunit ribosomal RNA". The record is from RNAcentral. Lineage: Eukaryota; Viridiplantae; Streptophyta; Magnoliopsida; Poales; Poaceae.